RNAcentral lists this ribosomal RNA (253 nucleotides) under uncultured bacterium. RNAcentral's name for it is "partial 16S ribosomal RNA". It matches the Rfam family "Bacterial small subunit ribosomal RNA", at positions 524 to 776 of the family's 1533-position model. The record is from RNAcentral.
UACGUAGGGUGCAAGCGUUGUCCGGAAUUACUGGGCGUAAAGCGUGCGCAGGCGGUGAUGUAAGACCGAUGUGAAAGCCCCGGGCUUAACUUGGGAAUUGCGCUCGAAACUACUUUGCUGGAGUGUGGCAGAGGAAGGUGGAAUUCCACGUGUAGCGGUGAAAUGCGUAGAGAUGUGGAGGAACACCAAUGGCGAAGGCAGCCUUCUGGGCCAACACUGACGCUCAUGCACGAAAGCGUUGGGAGCAAACAGG